This 62-nucleotide transfer RNA is filed under the name Sangariola fortunei. Its description in RNAcentral is "tRNA-Leu". The record is from RNAcentral. Lineage: Eukaryota; Metazoa; Arthropoda; Insecta; Coleoptera; Chrysomelidae.
AUUAUUUUGGCAGAAUAGUGCAUGAGAUUUAGGUUCUUAAUAUGUAGAAUUUACAAAUAAUA